This 379-nucleotide ribosomal RNA is filed under the name Naja nivea (cape cobra). RNAcentral describes it as "partial 12S ribosomal RNA". Lineage: Eukaryota; Metazoa; Chordata; Lepidosauria; Squamata; Elapidae. The record is from RNAcentral.
UUGUUCGCCAAAUAACUACGAGUAAGAACUUAAAAUUUAAAAGACUUGACGGUACUUCACACCAACCUAGAGGAGCCUGUCCAAUAACCGAUAAUCCACGAUUAACCCAACCCGUUCUGGCCUAACAGUCUAUAUACCGCCGUCGCCAGCUUACCUUAUGAAAGAACCAAAGUAAGCCCAACAACACCACAUUAAUACGACAGGUCGAGGUGUAACUAAUGAAUGGGCAAAGAUGGGCUACAUUUUCUAACCCAGAAAACACGAACAGACUAUGAAACUAGAAACUGAAGGCGGAUUUAGCAGUAAGCUAAGAAUAGAAUGCUCAGCCGAAAUAAACGCAAUGAAGUGCGCACACACCGCCCGUCAUCCCUGUAAUAAC